AUUGAACGCUGGCGGCAUGCCUAACACAUGCAAGUCGAACGAGUGGCGGACGGGUGAGUAAGGUCUGGGAAACUGCCUGAUGGAGGGGGAUAACUACUGUAAACGUUAGCUAAUACCGCAUACCAUCGGAUGUGCCCACAUGGGAUUAGCUAGUAGGUGGGGUAAAGGCUCACCAAGGCGACGAUGCCUAGCUGGUCUGAGAGGAUGAUCAGCCACACUGGGACUGAGACACGGCCCAGACUCCUACGGGAGGCAGCAGUGGGGAAUAUUGCACAAUGGGCGCAAGCCUGAUGCAGCCAUGCCGCGUGUAUGAAGAAGGCCUUCGGGUUGUAAAGUACUUUCAGCGGGGAGGCGUUACUCGCAGAAGAAGCACCGGCUAACUCCGUGCCAGCAGCCGCGGUAAUUC
Molecule: ribosomal RNA, 406 nt
Filed under: uncultured bacterium
Lineage: Bacteria
Description: partial 16S ribosomal RNA
Rfam family: Bacterial small subunit ribosomal RNA
Source: RNAcentral